Molecule: RNA transcript, 954 nt
Organism: Chinchilla lanigera (long-tailed chinchilla)
Lineage: Eukaryota; Metazoa; Chordata; Mammalia; Rodentia; Chinchillidae
Gene: Tmem212
Gene name: transmembrane protein 212
Exons: 5
Source: RefSeq, a predicted model, not a curated record
UAACCUCAUGUUUUGGUAACACACAUCUCUGAGACGAAGGACCCAAGUCACAGAGAAAAAUGAAGUUCCUGUAUCAAACUGCUGGCCAGAUUCUCAUUACUCUGGGGAGUCUCAGUGUAUUUUCUGGAGUUAUUGCUUUCUUCCCUGUCUUUUCUUACAAGCUUUGGUUCACAGGAUGGAGUGUGUGGAUCGCUUGUCCUAUCUGGAAUGGAGCUUUGGCCACCACAGCUGGCAUACUUCUACUACUGUCUUCCAAACAGUGGACACAAAGAUACCUGUGGGAAGCUUGUUUCACCUUUGUGACUCUGAGCAUUAUGGGAUGUCCACUUCAUUUUGCAGUUGCCUUGGAAUCUGCUCUCCUUGGCCCCUAUUGCUUCUACUCAUUUUCAGGGGUUGCAGGGACCAAUUACCUUGGUUAUGCAGUUGCCUUUCCUUUUCCAUACACAAAAUUCCCAUCAGUUUGUGUGGACCCACUCCACUAUGAAGAAUACCACCUGACGCUUCAAGCCAUUGACCUGUGCCUGAGCUUUGCUCUGUUCUGUGCAUCGCUGACAGUGUUCAUCAAGAUUGCUACAAGACUAAUCCAGAAUGGACACAUCAAUCAUUUCACAGCUGAAAGCUAAGACCACUGCACUGUACUACAUACUCCCAAGGCCACCGAUCUCCUGAAUGUCUGUGGUCAGAAGACUGGACAGUAAAUUCAGCCCUGUGUCCCUCCCCUUGAACCUGCCUCGUUUGUAGUUGUCACUUUGAAAUAUCUACAAAAUAAUUUUGAUCUUUAAACUUUUUUCCUCUGUGUUCUUAAAAGAAUAAAAAUUGAAACUGUUGUACAAGUUGGCCCUUUUUAAUUGCUAACAUUUACAAUUUCCAUAUUAUGAUGUCAAAAAUGAAAUUAUAUUGUUGUCAUCAUAGAAAUGUUAAAAUCUGCAAUAUAAAUUUUCAUGAGUGAAUGUU